GAUGAAGAACGUAGCGAAAUGCGAUAAGUAGUGUGAAUUGCAGAAUUCCGUGAAUCAUCGAAUCUUUGAACGCACAUUGCGCCUUCUGGUAUUCCGGAAGGCAUGCCUGUUCGAGAGUCAUUAACAACCGUUUCGAUCCCUUUCUUUCAGAAAUUACAAAGAGGAAAAGGGUUUGGUUAUGGUGGAGGAGGGAAAGGGAGCGUUUAGCCUGUCAAAAAAGAGGCUGUGUUCCGCCUCCCCCCCAAAAUUGUACAGGCGGUCGUGUGCGCCCACGCAUCGAGGUGUUGUAAAAGCUGCCACGGCACUUUUCACCUGUGCAGUGCGAGAUUGGCCAGCCGGUUUAAAAACCCCUCCAAACAAUCAAAGGUUGACCUCGGAUCAGGUAGGGAUACCCGCUGAACUUAAGCAUAUCAAUAAGCGGAGGA
RNAcentral lists this unclassified non-coding RNA (425 nucleotides) under soil metagenome. RNAcentral describes it as "partial contains 5.8S ribosomal RNA, internal transcribed spacer 2, and large subunit ribosomal RNA". The stretch from base 1 to 120 matches the Rfam family "5.8S ribosomal RNA", at positions 35 to 154 of the family's 154-position model. The record is from RNAcentral.